This 517-nucleotide ribosomal RNA is filed under the name uncultured bacterium. RNAcentral's name for it is "bacterial SSU rRNA". It matches the Rfam family "Bacterial small subunit ribosomal RNA", at positions 60 to 551 of the family's 1533-position model. The record is from RNAcentral.
AGUCGAACGAGAACGUUUCCUUCGGGAAGCUAGUAAAGUGGCAGACCCCUUUAGUAACACGUGGAUAACCUGCCCUCGGGUGUGGAAUCUUUCUGCGAAAGUGGGGCUAAUACCGCAUAACAUUUCCGGUUCGCAGGAACUGGAAAUCAAAGAUGGCCUCUGACAUAAGCUGUCGCCUGAAGAGGGGUCCGCGUACCAUUAGCUUGUUGGCGGGGUAAAAGCCCACCAAGGCAACGAUGGUUAGCCGGCCUGAGAGGGUGAACGGCCACACUGGAACUGAGACACGGUCCAGACUCCUACGGGAGGCAGCAGUGGGGAAUUUUUCGCAAUGGGCGAAAGCCUGACGAAGCAACGCCGCGUGGAUGAUGAAGGCCUUCGGGUCGUAAAAUCCUGUCGGCAGGUAUGAAACUUUCGGUAGCUAAUAUCUAUCGGAACUGACAGUACCUGCUGAGAAAGCCCCGGCUAACUCCGUGCCAGCAGCCGCGGUAAUACGGGGGGGGCGAGCGUUAUUCAGAAU